Molecule: long non-coding RNA, 4106 nt
Filed under: Homo sapiens (human)
Lineage: Eukaryota; Metazoa; Chordata; Mammalia; Primates; Hominidae
Description: non-protein coding lnc-GOSR2-2:3
Source: RNAcentral
CUGCCUCUGCCAACUUAAAAACAGCAUUGAGGCUGUCUGCAAGACAGUCAAGCUGCAUUGCAACAGUGCAUGUCUGACAAACACCAUACAUUGUCGUUUAGGAUUGGGUGUGUGUGUCUCCUCUCUGAAUGGCACUCAAAUGUUUGCUGACUCCUACUCUGUGUGACUGGGGUGUACAGCUAUGGACUGAUGCAUCCCAUCCCAUCAUCUUUCAUGAGCAAAGCAGUCUCUUUUUUGACAGCUGAAGAAGAAUCUGUAGGGAAUCCAGAAGGAGCAUUCAUGAAGACGUUACAAGCCCGGAAGAAUUACACAAGCACUGAGCUGACUGUUGAGCCGGAGGAGCCCUCAGACAGCAGUGGCAUCAACUUGUCAGGCUUUGGGAGUGAGCAGCUAGACACCAAUGACGAGAGUGAGGUUAUCAGUGCACUAAGUUACAUUUGCCAUAUUUCUCAGCAGUAAACCUAGAUGUGGAAUCAAUGUUACUACCGUUCAUUAAACUGCCAACCACAGGAAACAGCCUGGCAAAGAUUCAAACUGUAGGCCAAAACCAGCAAAAAGUGAAUAGAGUCCUCAUGGGCCCAAGGAGCAUCCAGAAAAGGCACUUCAAAGAGGUGGGAAGGCAGAGCAUCAGGAGGGAACAGGGUGCCCAGGCAUCUGUGGAGAACGCUGCCGAAGAAAAAAGGCUCGGGAGUCCAGCCCCAAGGGAGCUGGAACAGCCUCACACACAGCAGGGGCCUGAGAAGUUAGCGGGAAACGCCAUCUACACCAAGCCUUCGUUCACCCAAGAGCAUAAGGCAGCAGUCUCUGUGCUGACACCCUUCUCCAAGGGCGCGCCUUCUACCUCCAGCCCUGCAAAAGCCCUACCACAGGUGAGAGACAGAUGGAAAGACAACACACACACUAUUUCCAUUUUAGAAAGUGCAAAGGCUAGAGUUACAAAUAUGAAGGCUUCUAAACCAAUUUCACAUUCCAGAAAAAAAUACCGCUUUCACAAAACUCGCUCCCGCAUGACCCACAGAACACCCAAGGUCAAAAAGAGUCCAAAGUUCAGAAAGAAAAGUUAUCUGAGUAGACUGAUGCUCGCAAACAGGCCUCCGUUCUCUGCAGCGAAGAGCCUCAUAAAUUCCCCUUCACAAGGGGCUUUUUCAUCCUUAGGAGACCUGAGUCCUCAAGAAAACCCUUUUCUGGAAGUAUCUGCUCCUUCAGAACAUUUUAUAGAAACCACUAAUAUAAAAGACACAACUGCAAGAAAUGCCUUGGAAGAAAAUGUUUUUAUGGAAAACACUAACAUGCCAGAAGUCACCAUCUCUGAAAACACAAACUACAAUCAUCCUCCUGAGGCAGAUUCCGCUGGGACUGCAUUCAACUUAGGGCCAACUGUUAAACAAACUGAGACAAAAUGGGAAUACAACAACGUGGGCACUGACCUGUCCCCCGAGCCCAAAAGCUUCAAUUACCCAUUGCUCAGUUUGAAAUUCAGCUAACCCAGCAGCUACAGUCCCUUAUCCCCAACAAUGUGAGAAGGCUCAUUUCUCAUGUUAUCCGGACCUUGAAGAUGGACUGCUCUGGGGCCCAUGUGCAAGUGACCUGUGCCAAGCUCAUCUCCAGGACAGGCCACCUGAUGAAGCUUCUCAGUGGGCAGCAGGAAGUAAAGGCAUCUGAGAUAGAAUGGGAUACGGACCAAUGGAAGACUCAGAACUACAUUAAUGAGAGCACGGAAGCCCAGAGUGAACAGAAAGAGAAGUCGCUUGAGCUCACAAAAUAAGUUCCAGGAUAUGGCUAUACUGACAAACUCAUCUUGGCAUUAAUUGUGACUGAAAUACUAAUGAUUUUUAUUAUACUUUUCUGCCUCAUUGUGGUAAGGACAAUAAUUAAUUCAGGUUGUCAGAAUGCAGUCCUGUUUCUGUGUGGAUUCAGAGCUCACAAACUGAAAACCAAAGCCACUUUCCCACCUGCUGCUACUUGACAUACUUCUUCAGUCAUUUAAGGCUGAGGUGUAUGCUUUGUUCUUUUAUUGCAGUGUAUAUUUCAGGAUUUUUAAAAGAUCCUCGCUUCCAGAUCUCUGUGAAUUGAAACCAAGUUAAUCCCACUAGACUAUUUUAAGAAGUCGAUAUAAUAGCAAAAUUUCUCCACCCAAAACUAUGUCAACAAUUGGAUGUACUCAUCAAGUCACCCUUACUCUGCCACUAAUUUAUUUCCUUGGUGCUGAAAUGAUGAGAGAGGUAUAAUCUCCACCCUCACGGAUUUGUCAUCACCCUGGAGAGGAAGGAGAGAGCCAAAAGACAGAAGUAUUGUCUUGUAGACUUAUUAGAUUUACACAGUAUCGUCCUCCAGUGUGUAAGGCAUUGUCUAAAUAGGUCCAGUUAAAGCACUACAGAGUAGCCAUCUUUUACAAAAAUUGUUGGCCACAUUUUUAAGUUCACAGGCGAGGGGGAACGUCUCAUACUCUAGCCCUCCUGAGCCUAGACCCUCUGUGAGAUGUGUCACCAUUUCUUGGACACCAUGUGAGACAUUCCCCCUCAGAUUAGAGAUGCUCAGCCUGCAUCAACUUAUCUAAAGCCUACAUCUGGCUACUCUGGGGCAAGUCCUGUUUACAGUGCCCAUUCCUGGAGCUUGCCUCUGUUUGUCUUUUGUUCGAUUACAUGAUAUAUUACUUUUCCCAACAGGCCAGUGCUAGCAUAUUGGAAGAGUGAUUUAAUAAAGCUGGCAACCUUGACGCUAUGCCACCAGUCCAACCUUAUUUGCCUCAUUUACCAUUUCCAUUAUUGUGGCAGCCCUCCAUUCCAGCCACAGCAGCCCCUCACUAUACCCCAGUCACACCACCCACAUUUCUGCUUCUGUCUGUGUGUUUGUCCAUCUAAAAUGCCCUUAUUUCACUCUGCCUGUGGGAGUCCUAUGCAUCUCUCAAAAGCCAACACAAGUUCAUCUUUCUUCUUGACACCUUCCCUGAAUAUUCCAGCCGUGCUGAGCCUAGUCCCUUUGUGAGAUUUGUCACCAUUUCUUGGACACCAUAUGAGAGACUUCAGAGGCUGAAGUGGGAGGAUCGCUUGAGCCUGGGAGGUCGAGGAUGCAGUGAGCUGUGGUCGUACCACUGCACUCUAGCCUGGGCAACACAGCGAGGCCCUGUCUUAAAAACAGCCACCACCAAAAACUAUCUUGGGAUUUGAAUAGGAUUACGUUAAAUUUGUAGAUUAAUUUGAGAAUUUACAUCUGUACGACAUUGUAGGAAUGUGCUGUCUCAUGAUGGAACUAACAAGGAUACACCUGCUGUCCCCAGCCCUUUUGGGAGGUGGGGAGGGAUAGGAAGGAGAAAGGUUUUGGUGCCUAUUGCUGCUGAUGGUGGGCAUCAGGCCAGGCCAGGGGCCUUCUUGGAGGCUCUGGGAAAGGGGAAGGGAAGGCCACCGGGUGUGAGAGAGAGGGCACUUGUCUCCUUCAAGGCUGAUGGAAGGUAGGAUAUGUGAGUCCUUCCUCUUAAGUGGCAGGAAACAGUAUUUUCUCUUUUCUUUUUUUCCCCUGGAUACUAGAACUGAGGAAACACUAUUUUCUCAUCUUACUGGUUUUUGCGCCCCCACUCUAUUCCUUUUACACAAACCUCACAGAAUUUUAACCAGAAAGGCCAGGCAGGAUGGCUCACGCCUGUAAUCACAGCACUUUGGGAUCACUUGAGGUUAGGAGCUCGUGACCAACCUGACCAACAUGGUGAAACCCCAUCUCUACUAAAAAUACUAAAUUAGCUGGGUGUGGUGGCACAGGCAUGUAAUCCCAGCUAUUUGGGAGGCUGAGGCAGGAGAACUGCUUGAAACCAGGAGGCGCAGGUUGCAGGGAGCCAAGAUAGCACCAUUGCACUCCAGCCUGGGGAACGAGCCAAACUGUCUCAAAUAAAAAAAAACAACAAAAAAGAAUUUUAACUACGGAGAACUUAGAUAGUAGUUUGUCCUUUUAUGACAGGAAAACUGAGAAGGAGAAAGGGAGAGUGUCUUACCCCAUGGUCACACAAUGCACUCUGCCUUUUCCUAUUUUAUUCAAAUUCAAAAAUAACAUGUUGUGGUUUAAGCUGAUUUCGCAGCUCACUCACUCAUCAGCGACAGCCAGCUGUAUGAAGACUG